RNAcentral lists this long non-coding RNA (834 nucleotides) under Homo sapiens (human). RNAcentral describes it as "HSALNT0199276". Lineage: Eukaryota; Metazoa; Chordata; Mammalia; Primates; Hominidae. The record is from RNAcentral.
CAAAAUUCUGGGUCAGGAAGUAAAAGCUAGAACUAUUACAGAGAUGAGCUGCUAAUUAUGGAGGAAGCCAUCGAGCAAGCAGCCGUUUCUGUCCAGAUCUCCAUUAGAAUCUCAUUAUCAGAGAUCAGUUGUUGCUAUGUUGCCCAGGCUGGAGUGCAAUGGCAUAAUCAUAGCUCACUGCAACCUCAAACUCCUGGGCUCAAGCCAUCCUCUUACCUCAGCCUCCAGAGUCACUAGAAGUGCAGGUUUUUAAUUGGACCACUCCCUGUGCUUUGGAGUUUGGGCGGCAGAACCGCGUAAGGAGAAGCCGUCUGGGUGUCUCCCCUCCGCCAGGCAAGGCAGACAACCAGAGCCGAGCAGCACAGAGAUCUUUCUGCAGUGGGAGAAACAGAUGAGAAAACUCUACGAACACACAGACACCUCUGGAGGAGGAGGACAAGCAGUAGAAGGUUACACAUCUGGGUUGUGAAGGGAAUUGUGACUAAUCUUGAAAGUUACAAUGUACAGAAAGUUCCAGAAAUGUAGACCUUUUGUUCCUUCACAUUAAAUGUAACUUGGGCCCGGUCACGGUGGCUCAUGCCUAUAAUCCUAGUACUUUGAGAGGCCAAGGCGGGUGGAUCGCUUGAGCUCAGGGGUUCAAGACCAGCCUGGCUGACACAGUGUGAUCUUGUCUCUACGAAAAAUAAAACAAAAUCAGCCAGACAUAAUGACGUACGUCUGUAUUUCCAACUACUUGGGCAGUUGAGGUGAGAGGAUUGCUUAAGCACAGCAGGUCAAGGCUGCAGUGAGCCAUGAUUAUGCUGCUGUACUUCAGCCUGGGCGAUAGAGGUAGAC